UGUCUCCCUAUAUAAACCUUAGUUUUUCUCUCCUCCUGGCUCUCCCCAAGGCCAUUUGCUCACUCCUUCAUCCAUUUUCUCUACUUGGAAAGAAAAAAAAACAAUGGCAAGAAUGAAGCUUAUGGGUCUUGCUUUAGCAAUACUGAUGAUGGUGAGUUGCUGCUUGGCUGCAAAUAGAAAGGUUAUAAAAGUAGAAGACGAGGUCAAGCAUGGACGAACCAUGCUUGAUAAUGGUGGCACUUUCACAGCCAGCUAUCCGUCAAGCGGUGUGGACAACCAUCAUCAUCUUCCUAGGCAGGAUUUCAAUAACUAUCCCGGCGGCAGUGGUAGCGGAGAUGGAAGCGGGUGAAAUAAUCUGAGCAGUACUGGUAUAUGAUGAUGGUAUAUGAAAUAAUUAUCGAUGACGAUAAUGUUAUAUUUCGUGCUUAAUUAGGUGUUUCUAGAUAUAUCUAUGAGAUCUAAUCAAAUUAGCUUCUAUGUA
Long non-coding RNA from Hibiscus syriacus, 481 nucleotides. RefSeq lists it as uncharacterized. The transcript is spliced from 2 exons. The record is from RefSeq and is a predicted model, not a curated record. Lineage: Eukaryota; Viridiplantae; Streptophyta; Magnoliopsida; Malvales; Malvaceae.